This 4120-nucleotide long non-coding RNA is filed under the name Sus scrofa (pig). RNAcentral describes it as "lncRNA (ENSSSCG00055008142.1)". The record is from RNAcentral. Lineage: Eukaryota; Metazoa; Chordata; Mammalia; Artiodactyla; Suidae.
CCUGCACUGCGAAAAUGAGCCCCCAGGACAUAUGGCUGUGACAGUGGGGCUUCAAUAUGGGAGAUCUAAAGGGCUAUAGGAAACAGAGACUCCCCUCUUAAAGGAUGCACACAAGAUCCAUACACUCCAAAACUCAGAUUGAGGCAGUAUGUAUGUAUGUAUUUUUGCCUUUUUAGGGCUGCACCUGCUGUAUAUGGAAAUUCCCAGGCUAGGGUUGAAUCGGAGCUGCAGCUGCUGGCCUACACCACAGCCACAGCAACACAGGAUCUGAGCCAUGUCUGUGACCUACAUCACAGCUCAAGGGAACACCAGAUCACCGACCCACUAAGCAAGGCCAGGGAUCAAAACCCAGUCCUCAUGGAUACUAGUCAGGUUCGUUUCCACUGCACCACAAUGGAAAUUUGAAGGCAGUAAUUUGAAAGAAGCCCAAGUCAGACCCAUUUGUUGAUCUUGGAGACCCUCUCAGAGGAGAAGGAGGCGACUGAGACUCCCCUUGGACACACAGUGGCUGGUGCAGCCUCUGGGGAUCUCAUUCUACCACAUCACAAUUAAAAUGGCAAACAUUAAAAGCAGAGGAUUCCAAAAGAACAGAAGAAAAACAAAGAGACAUAUACAGUAGGACCCCCAGAGGGCUAUCAACUGAUUUUUCUGCCCAAAAUUUGUAUGCCAGAAGGGAGUGGCAGAUAUAUUCAAAGUGCCGAAAAGAAAAACCUGUGAAGUAAGAUGUUCUACCCAGCACAACUAUCAUUUAUAAUUGAAAGAGAGAUAGAGAAACUCAAGUGAAACUAAAAGAGUUCUGCAAUGCUAAAUCUAUGCUGAAAGAAAUGGCAGUAAGUAUAUACAUAUCAAUAAUCACUUUAAAUGUCCAUGGACUCAAUACACCAACCAAAAGAUAGGAUGACUGGCUGUAUAAAAAAAUAAGGAGCAUCUACACACUGCUGAAAAGACUCACGGCAGAGCUAAAGACACACACAAAUUGAAAGUGAGGAGAUAGAAAAAGCUAUUUCAUGCAGAUGGAAACAAGAAAGAGGGGGUAGCAAUACUCAAAGCAGAUGAAAUAAAUUUAAACAGCAUGGUAAGGGCACAAAAACAGAUGCAUAGUUUAGUGAAACAUAGUACAGAGCCCAGAAAUAAACCCAUGGAUUUAUAGUCAAUCUCAGAGAAAGGAGGCAAGAAUAUACAAUGGAGAAAAGACAGUCUUUUCCACAAGUGGUGUUGGUAAAACUGGACAGCUAUAUAUAAAAUAAUGAAAUUAGGACAUUUUAUUAUACCUACAUACAAAAAUAAAAUCAAAAUAGAUUAAAGACCUACAAGUAAGACCCCAAAUCAUAAAGUUCUUAGACGAGAACAUAAGCAGAGCACUGUGACAUAAAUUGCAGCAAUAGGAGUUCCUAUUGUGGCUCAGCAGAAACGAAUCUGACCAGCAUCCACGAGGACAGAGGUUCAAUCCCUGGCCUCACUCAGUGGGUUAAGGAUCCAGCAUUGCCAUGAGCUGUGGUGUAGGUCAGGGAUGGGGCUUGGAUCCCAUGGCGUUGCUGUGGCUGUGACAUAGGCUGGCAGCUACAGCUCCAAUUUGACCCCUAGCCUGGGAACCUCCACAUGCCAAGGGCGUGGCCCUAAAAAAGACACACACACACACAAAGACACACACACACACACAAAUUGCAGCAGUAUUUUUUUGGAUUUACCUCCUAAGGCAAUGAACCGUAUUCUAAGAGUGAGCCUGACCUAAGUUAUAGGAGUCAUCCCUCCACCUAUAACUGGUGCUAUGAGUGAAUUCCCUUCAGGCUGAUCCCCAACACUUCCGACUUCACCUUCCAUGAAAAUGAAGGAUGGACGAUAUUCAUUCAUCUUAUUCCAACUGCAAGGCUUUCACAGCUCGGCACCAUCCACAUCUCUGGCCUUACCUUCCACCACUCCACCCUCAUGGAUCAGAAUCAUUCCAGUUUUUCCAAAACAUGUCCUGUUCUCUAAUCCCACUGCCCCUUUGGGCAUGGCAUUAAUUUAAGCCUGGUGAAUUUUCUCCACACUUACCCCAGCCCCUCCCCCAUUCCUAUUCCAUUCCUCUGUACUCCUUGGAUGUCUUGCACCGAUUAGCUGAAAUCUUGCAAGCUUUUUCAGACUCUAUCUUCCUCUUUGGCUUGGCUGGCCAUAAUCCAUGUUCUCACGUUGAUUAAAAAUGCUUCUAUCAUACAUUGCCACUGUGGAUGUUUCUCUAUCCCAGCCAUGAGACAGAGAACUCCUUGGGAUUGAUGAUGGUGGCUAUUUCCUUAUAACUCCAGAGUUUAGUAGAAUGCCUGGUUCAGAGUCAUUUCUCAUCAACCAUUUUUUAAGGUAGUUUUUAUUUUUCCCCAUUUUUAAAAAUUUUGUUGAAGUAUUCUUGACUUACAAUGUUGUAAUAAUUCGUGUUGUACAACAUGAUUCGUCACCAACCAUUUUUAAAUCAUGCAUAGAUGGGUAGAUAGCUAAAUAGCUAGGUAGAUAGAAGGGUGGACAGAUAGAUAGAAAGAAAGGAAAGGAAGGAAGGGAGGAAGGAGGGAAGGAAGGAAGGAAGGAAGGAAGAAAGAAAAAGAAAGAAAGAAAGAAAGAAAGAAAGAAAGAAAGAAAGAAAGAAAGAAAAGAAAGAAAGAAAGAAGGAAGGAAGGAAAGAAAAGAAAAGAAAGAAAGAAUAGUGACCCUUUCAUCAGAAAAUGAAAUUUUUUCACAUGUUUGAUUUUGUCCUCCAUCCAAGUAGAGUAGGGUGUGGCAUUAGGAAGCAGCCUCAUUCACUGUAUGAGGCAGAUACUGUCAGGUCUUUUCCCGGCAUAAUUAUUAAUGUGACUCUGGAGAAAAUAAAAUCCAACGUCUGGGGCAGGUGUGUGUGUGUGUGUGUGUGUGUGUGUGUGUGUGUGUGUGUGUGUGUGUGUGUGUGUUGUGAUGACGGAACAUGGAAGUGGACAGAGAGACCUUGAGGAAGUGGACUUUAAAAGCAGAGUGUAAGGUAGAUGAGAACUUUUAUUGAUAAGGGAAAAUUCUAACCAGCCAAGCCACCUGCUUUCUCAGAUCCAAAGGCACAGCAGAACCCUUUUCUUGGCAACUUCAUUAUUGGGCCUCUCCUUCUAGUUGGCCAGUCCCUGUUCUAGCACUUUCCAUCUCAGAAGGUAACACCGAUAUUCUCCCCUCAGCUAGAUGUUCUGUCAGAAACAUAGCUUUCUCUGAAGGAAAAAGAAAAGAAUCCAAAAGAGAGGCAGAGAGCUUUGCAUUCCCUUUGGACCCUAAGCCUCAUCUUCUUUGGACCCACUAUCUAACUUCUAUAGGAAUUCUGGCUCCAAGGCUACUUAAUGCCUAUUCUCACUGAUGACAUAAAUAAGAUGUUAGAAAAAUUAGAUCAGGUCCAUGUGCUGGAACAGAAUAGAAACUCCCAAUAUACUUUUACAAUGGCUUCCAUACAUCUUUUUACACACACACACACACACACACACACACUCAAACACAAAGCAAUGCAGAUCAUCCCGAAUGUCCUAAUGGGGUUUUAAGCUCUAAUAACUUCAGAAGGCUAAGUGCGACAAACUUAAAACAUGAUCUUUUGAAUGCUUACUUAAAUUUAUUGUAUAUUCGUGAAUUUUGAAAGAUUUUUCAUUUCUUCAGUCAGCAUUCUCCACCUUUAAUCAGAGCUGCUGCCACAAAAAAUUAAAAUUUAAAAUAUGUCCUUGAGAAUAACACCUAAAACGGAUCUCGGACUUUCAUCUGGCUGCUCUGUACCUACGUUUAAUAUCUUUUGUAUUCUCUGAUGAUUUCUGAUCUGUUCAAUUAUACUCUUCUGUGUUUUAUUUAAUGCUAUUAUAUUCUGUUGGUCUGUUCUAAAUACUGAUCUCACCCCCAUGAAUUGGUUUCACGACCCCCUGAAGAAAAAGACAGCUCUAGAAGGCAGGCUCGGCAUGCCUGGUGAAGGAAAGGGAGCCCCUUCCUUGGUUCAAGAGCUCAGUCCUUCUGAGCCGGGGUGAGGUGCAGGUCCAUUCAUUUCCCAACUCCCUGGUGAAUGAAAGCCAUUUGAGCAAUGAUGGGAUGGGGCCUGGGGGCAGUCUUGAUACAGAAAACAAUUCCCUCAAUACCGGCAGAGUGGACAGUGCCCCCGGCUGUG